GGAUAUUGAUCUAGAAGAGUUGAAGUAUCUAAACCUAGUGAUUAAAGAAACAUUAAGGUUGCACCCUCCUGUUCCUCUAUUAAUCCCUAGGGAAUGCAGAGAAGAAACAAAAAUUGACAAAUAUAUAAUAGCUAUCAAAACUAGAGUUAUAGUGAAUGUAUGGACAAUUGGAAGAGAGUCUAAAUGUUGGCAAAAUCCAGAGAGUUUUAUACCUGAGAGAUUUGAGAAUAAUUCUAUUGAUUUUAUAUAAUACCUAUCAAAACUAGAGUUCUGGUGAAUGUAUGGGCAAUUGGAAGAGAGUCUUCAUAUUGGCAUAAUCCUGAAAGUUUUAUACCUGAGAGAUUUGAGAAUAAUUCUAUUGAUUUCAGA
Molecule: long non-coding RNA, 369 nt
Filed under: Nicotiana benthamiana
Lineage: Eukaryota; Viridiplantae; Streptophyta; Magnoliopsida; Solanales; Solanaceae
Description: long non-coding RNA (NBEN_LNC033073)
Source: RNAcentral